GGCUUCUGCUCAUUGUGUAGGGCAAAGGACAGGGCUUUCCGCUGUCCAGGGCCCUGGCCUAGGCGGGGAGGGGAGCUGAGGUCACUGGGUACAGCUUGUGCGUCCACAGAGCUUACAGCCUGGUUGGGGAGGGAGAUGGCCAGGCUCAGAGUUGAAGAUGACCUAGAUCAUGCGUCAACAAACUAUGGCCUGAGGGCCAAAGCCAGCGCACCACCCGUUUUUGUACAGCCCAUGGGUUAAGAAGAGUUUUCAAAAUUUUAAACAGCAGUCUCCCCUUAUCCAUGGUUUCACCUUCUGUGGUUUCAGUUACUUGCAGUCAACCAUGGCCCAAAAAUAGCUACGAUCAGUGACCAUGGACUCAUAAGGCUUUUGUUUAAGAAUUGCCUAAGAUGUUCUUCAGAUCCUGAAUUCCAGCAGGAAAGCUAAUGCCAACCAGUUUGAAAACAACCACAGAGGAAUCGAAUCAGCACGAGAAUGCAGUUUCUUCAUUUCCCUGUCCCAUGACUUUACUCUGCACUCUUUGACCAAUCAAUAAUCCUGGACCUUGGCCCACUUCAAACCCCUUGAAAUCUCUAGCUCCAACUCCCUGGAGGGGUGGAUUUGAGGUUUCCUCCUGUUUCCUUGUUUGGCUGCCGUAUGAUUAUUAAACUCUUUCUUUGCUGCAAUCCCUGUUGCCUUGGUUUAUUGACUUACUGUGCAUCGGGCAAACAAACCUAUUAUGAUGACAUCAUGACGCAAUAUCCACCUCAAAGGACUGCUGGGAGCCUCAAAAAUUUACAAAUUUGUGAAUUGUAUGUGACUGUCUGAUGCCGGGGAGCAGCAAGGAGCUUUUGGUGAUUGGAGUGCGAAUAUCACUUAGGAAGACUAGACAGCACUUCAGCACUACACUUCGAGGGCAUUUUAAACAGUGAAAUCAUCAACAAAAAGCACAAAAAUGCAUAAGUGUGGCACCAAAUAGACUGCAAGAAGGACACUUGUUUACGGUUUGAGAGCUGAAACCAGGAGACAGAGUGUUAUCUUAUUUGACUCAAAUUUUUCACCACUCUGAGCAGGUCCGUGAAUGGCCACAAAACUGCUGCGAGAUUUCAUUUUGGGGCUACAAAGGAAUUUUUGCAAGUAGAUGAAUUGGCAAACAUGGAGUCUGUGAAUGAUGAGGAUGGACUGUGUAUGUUGCAUUUGUGGAGAGGACAACUUCAUUGCAGAGGAUGUGUAAAGGGAGCACAGUGCCUAAAGUCUUCAUUAAGGUGUAGGGGACUGAUGUAUCCCCUCCCGAGGGCCCACUGUGCUCAAGAGAAGCAGAGAAUACGCCGGGAGCGGUGGCUCACGCCUGUAAUCCCAGCACUUUGGGAGGCUGAGGCAGGUGGAUCACGAGGUCAGGAGAUUAAGACCAUUCUGGCCAACAUGGUGAAACCCCAUCUCUACUAAAAAUACAAAAAUUAGCUGGGCAUGGUGGCCUGCGUCUGUAGUCCCAGCUACUCAGGAGGCUGAGGCAGGAGAAUCGCUUGAACCUGGGAGGCAGAGGUUGCAGUGAGCCGAGAUCACACCACUGCACUCCAGCCUGGGUGACAGAGCAAAGCUCUUAUCUCAAAAAAAAAAAAAAAAAAAAAGAGAGAGAGAAGCAGAGAAUAAAGGAGGCCAGUGGCCAUCAAAAGGGAGUGGCAGGUAGGUGAGAGAGGACAUAGGGAGGGAGGUGGGAUUGAGAGGGAGGGCAGUGGGUGUUGGGGGGGAGGGUCCCUCACGGUUUAGCUGGGUCCCAGAACUCCCUCCCCCUGAACACCUCGUGGGUGGGUGCCUCUUCUCUGCUCACUUUUGGCUGGACUUCUGCUGAUCUGUGAAACACAGAGAGACUCUCCUCUCUGGCUGUCUCCCAGUUGCGGGGAACCUUUUGAUUUCUUAACUAUUCCCCUGGGAUCCAUUCCUCUAUUUGCUCAUUUUCUAAUACUCCCUCUUCAUCACCGUGUUACUGGGCCACUGACUCCCACUCCAAAGGCCGACCAGGCCCGGAAAGCUCAUAAAGUGAGUCAGCCUAAGAGAAGGGAUCCGAGUCCAGGUCACUUGGAGCUGAUGACGGCAGCGAACCUGGCUAAGCCAGCGUGUGCAAGAUGCUGGCGCUGCUGGAAACAUCGCCUGGAGGAGCGGCCCUCUCAUCACCCGGAACAGACAGGGGUGUCUGCAGAGGUUUCCCAACCUGUCAUCAUUACUCUAGGGUCUUCUUAGAAGGACAACAAACCCUGUACCUGCAUGGCGGAGUGUUAGGAUAUCUGGUACCAUGUCACUCCCCUGAGCUCAGCCAGACUGCCUGAGGGUUGUGCCCCACUCCACCAUUUACUGCUUGUGCCUCAGUUUCCUGAUCUGUAAAAUGGAAGUUCUAAUAGUAUCCACCUCAUAGGGUUGUUAUGAGGACUGCACUACAUAUAUACAUAUAGCACUGAGAACAGUGCCUGCACAGAGUAAGCUCUACAGAACACUGGCUUUUAUUAUUGUGAUUAUUAUUGCUCGUAUUAUUACUACUCUUCUCAUCUCUAAAGAAUGGAAUGGGGCUGAACGAUUUCAAAGGCCUUUCUUUCCCUUCCUGUUCUGUUACUGGAGAUGCUCCCUUGCUGUGUGGCCUUGGGCAAGGCCCUUGUCCUCUCUGGGCCGCAAGUUCUUAUCUUCUAAGUGAGGUGCUGGGAGUCAAGCCCUGAGAGCCUGAAUCUAUGAAAUAAGGAUAAGAUGACUCCUAGAGUGGGGUUCAUUUGUGACUGCAGCCUCUCCUGGGGAUGCUGAAUUUCCUUAUUUUAAGAAUUUACUCAGAAUUUAAUCCAAUUCCUCUCCCCUUUUUGUCUAUUGUAACUGCUUAUUUCAUCUCAGCUGAGAUAAAUGGUUAAGUAAUCAACAUAACAGGGUAUAUUUGUAGUGUGUUUUUAAAGCUCCCAUUCACUGAACCAACCACCUUCCUAAGCCUGGAUUAAUUUAUUCUAUCAUCAUUACAACCCUGGGAGGGAGAUUAUUGUCCCUGUGUUAGAGAUGAGGAAAUUGAAGCACAGAGAAAAGUUAAGCAACUUGCCCAAGGACACACAAACAGUAAAUAGUAAAUCCAGAUUUAAACCAGGAACCUUGACUCCAGAUUCUGUAAGCUUUACCCUGACACUAUACCAGCGGUUGGCCUUGAGCUUAAUUUCUAAUUCUACGAUGGAAACGCUGAGGUGGGAGGCAGGUCUUUACUCCAGACCAGACUGAUGACUGGCUGAACCAGGGAAGAGGCAAAAGCACCUCUCCAUAAGACAUGCUCACCAGUACAUGCCAGUUUACCCUUGCCAGUAACUCAGAAGUUACUGCCUCUUUCCAUGGCAUUGACAGAUCCACCCCUUUUCUAGAAAUUUCUGAAUAGCCCGCCUCUUAAUUUGCAUGUAAUUAAAAUGGGUAUAAAUAUGACUGAAACACUGCCCCGAGCUCCUAUUCUCAACACACUGCCUGUGGGGUAGCCCUGCUCUGCAGGAGGAGUCACGGAGCUGUAACACUGCUGACUCAAUAAAGCUGUUUU
Molecule: long non-coding RNA, 3523 nt
Filed under: Homo sapiens (human)
Lineage: Eukaryota; Metazoa; Chordata; Mammalia; Primates; Hominidae
Description: HSALNT0405788
Source: RNAcentral